CAGUCGAGGGGCAUCAGUUUGGUUUGCUUGCAAACCAAAGCUGGCGACCGGCGCACGGGUGAGUAACACGUAUCCAACCUGCCUCAUACUCGGGGAUAGCCUUUCGAAAGAAAGAUUAAUAUCCGAUAGCAUAUAUUUCCCGCAUGGGUUUUAUAUUAAAGAAAUUCGGUAUGAGAUGGGGAUGCGUUCCAUUAGUUUGUUGGCGGGGUAACGGCCCACCAAGACUACGAUGGAUAGGGGUUCUGAGAGGAAGGUCCCCCACAUUGGAACUGAGACACGGUCCAAACUCCUACGGGAGGCAGCAGUGAGGAAUAUUGGUCAAUGGACGCGAGUCCGAACCAGCCAAGUAGCGUGAAGGAUGACUGCCCUAUGGGUUGUAAACUUCUUUUAUAUGGGAAUAAAGUGGUCCACGUGUGGAUUUUUGUAUGUACCAUAUGAAUAAGGAUCGGCUAACUCCGUGCCAGCAGCCGCGGUAAUACGGAGGAUCCGAGCGUUAUCCGGAUUUAUUGGGUUUAAAGGGAGCGUAGGCGGAUUGUUAAGUCAGUUGUGAAAGUUUGCGGCUCAACCGUAAAAUUGCAG
RNAcentral lists this ribosomal RNA (579 nucleotides) under uncultured bacterium. RNAcentral describes it as "bacterial SSU rRNA". It matches the Rfam family "Bacterial small subunit ribosomal RNA", at positions 59 to 626 of the family's 1533-position model. The record is from RNAcentral.